This is a long non-coding RNA of Haliotis rubra (blacklip abalone), 113 nucleotides long. RefSeq lists it as uncharacterized. The transcript has 3 exons. The record is from RefSeq and is a predicted model, not a curated record. NCBI's taxonomy places the organism in Eukaryota, Metazoa, Mollusca, Gastropoda, Lepetellida, Haliotidae.
CAUUUUAUCAGUCACGAAUUUACGUAAACAAUAUAUUCCUGAAUGUUACCUCUCCAAGUCACCUACUGUAGCAUUUAAACAAAUCCUGUCUACUUAUGACAACUGUAUUAACU